UACAGAGGUCCCAAGCGUUGUUCGGAUUCAUUGGGCGUAAAGGGUGCGUAGGCGGCGCGGUAAGUCGGGUGUGAAAUCUCGGAGCUUAACUCCGAAACUGCAUUCGAUACUGCCGUGCUCGAGGACUGGAGAGGAGACUGGAAUUUACGGUGUAGCGGUGAAAUGCGUAGAUAUCGUAAGGAAGACCAGUGGCGAAGGCGGGUCUCUGGACAGUUCCUGACGCUGAGGCACGAAGGCUAGGGGAGCAAACGGG
This 253-nucleotide ribosomal RNA is filed under the name uncultured bacterium. RNAcentral describes it as "partial 16S ribosomal RNA". It matches the Rfam family "Bacterial small subunit ribosomal RNA", at positions 524 to 776 of the family's 1533-position model. The record is from RNAcentral.